UGAGUUAAUUGCAAAACGAAAACUGAUUAUUGGUCUUAUGCUGGAGAAAGUUCAAGAUUUUCUUAGAGAUAAGUUGUGUAACUUUGAUUUGCAGGGUGGUGGACAAAAUAGGCAAGCGCAGACGGUAAAAGGUUCUAUUACAGAGGGGAAGCAACCGAUAUAAUGGAUGUUGUGUCGUUGCUUGAAGGGCUAAAACUCUUGUUUGCGUUAUAAGAAAGGAACACAGAAUAAAGUAAAGAUCCAAGUCUUGACCACGUUCUCUUCAAUUGGAAAAUUCAUCAUAUAAGAGAUGGUUUGUCCCAGUUUUUUGUCUACAAAUGCGUACAAUUUGUAAUAUACUCCCGUACUUAUUCUUUUAUACGUGUCAUGAAGUUGUCACAGUUUGCUAUAUGGUCUUUAUGUGCGCUGUUUUGGUAUGUGUGUAAUUAAGAAAAAUUUCUACCAAGUCCCCAAGGAUUUCAAGAACUGGGAUAAGCUGAAAAUGUGAGCUUUGAUGUGAUUGUCAAGCAUCGGACUGUACUAGACCGC
Molecule: long non-coding RNA, 528 nt
Filed under: Brassica napus (rape)
Lineage: Eukaryota; Viridiplantae; Streptophyta; Magnoliopsida; Brassicales; Brassicaceae
Description: long non-coding RNA (BNAP_LNC016040)
Source: RNAcentral